GACGAACGCUGGCGGCGUGCUUAACACAUGCAAGUCGAACGGUGAGGCCCUUCGGGGUACACGAGUGGCGAACGGGUGAGUAACACGUGGGUGAUCUGCCCUGCACUUCGGGAUAAGCCUGGGAAACUGGGUCUAAUACCGGAUAGGACUCCUGGCUUCAUGGUUGGGGGUGGAAAGCUUUUGCGGUGUGGGAUGGGCCCGCGGCCUAUCAGCUUGUUGGUGGGGUAAUGGCCUACCAAGGCGACGACGGGUAGCCGGCCUGAGAGGGUGACCGGGCACACUGGGACUGAGAUGUGGCCAGACUCCUACGGGAGGCAGCAGUGGGGAAUAUUGCACAAUGGGCGCAAGCCUGAUGCAGCGACGCCGCGUGAGGGAUGACGGCCUUCGGGUUGUAAACCUCUUUCAGCUAUGACGAAGCGCAAGUGACGGUAGUAGCAGAAGAAGGACCGGCCAACUACGUGCCAGCCGCCGCGGUAA
This 477-nucleotide ribosomal RNA is filed under the name uncultured bacterium. Its description in RNAcentral is "partial 16S ribosomal RNA". It matches the Rfam family "Bacterial small subunit ribosomal RNA", at positions 28 to 523 of the family's 1533-position model. The record is from RNAcentral.